RNAcentral lists this ribosomal RNA (292 nucleotides) under uncultured bacterium. Its description in RNAcentral is "partial 16S ribosomal RNA". It matches the Rfam family "Bacterial small subunit ribosomal RNA", at positions 505 to 796 of the family's 1533-position model. The record is from RNAcentral.
GUGCCAGCAGCCGCGGUAAGACGUAGGGAGCGAGCGUUGUCCGGAUUCAUUGGGCGUAAAGAGCGCGUAGGCGGCCGUGCAAGUCGGUUGUGAAAUCCCGGGGCUCAACCCCGGGACUGCGUCCGAUACUGCACGGCUCGAGGCAGGUAGGGGAGAGUGGAAUUCCCGGUGUAGCGGUGAAAUGCGCAGAUAUCGGGAGGAACACCGGUGGCGAAGGCGGCUCUCUGGACCUGUCCUGACGCUGAGGCGCGAAAGCUAGGGGAGCGAACAGGAUUAGAAACCCCCGUAGUCC